GCUUAAACUGCUAAUAACACUAAGUACCGUUCAUAUAAUGAAAGGAAAAAGAGAGUGGUCAAUUGACCACCCACUCACCACUUCCACUCUGAGAAGAACAAAGCGUUCCCACACAUCUAGUCUGUAGCGUCAGUGACCAUCGUUCAGUGUAGGAAAACAGUGAAGCAAGUAGAAGUAUAGAUAAGGAUGUUGCAGUGAAUGGGAUCUACUUGGAUUUUGCAAAGGCGUUCAGUUAUGGCUCCACACAAAAGACUAGUGUUGAAUUUAAAAGAGAUUGGUCUUGAUGAACAUUCUGUUCUUGAAUAAUAAACUGGCUUAUUGUGUCACUGCUUGCAUAUGACACAAAACUAUGAAAGUUAAUACAGUGUGAGUAGGAUAUUGCUUCACUACAGAGGGUUUUUGAUAGAGUAGGGGUCUUGGCAGUCAAAUGGCAGAUUAAAUUUAAUGUAGAUAAAUGCAAAGUUCUCCACUUAGAGAUAAAAAAUGCAUAAGCAUAUGGUAUACUCUAUAUGGUAGUGAAUUAGAUUAAAUAAUACAUGACAAGGAUUUGGGAAUCAUUAUAGGAAAAAACCUGGGCAACAAUAUGCAAUGUCGAUCAGCAGUUGCUAUCCAAUACAAACCGUGUGGAAAUCUAUUCAUAAAUAGGUCUAUAAAUAUGACACAAGGUCACCCAUUUAGACUGGAAAAAAAGGAUAUUUAGUCUAAGCAAAGAACCAUUUACCAUUCACCCAUUUACCACAAGAACAAUAAAGAUGUGGAACUUUC
Non-coding RNA from Pelobates cultripes (western spadefoot toad), 765 nucleotides. The record is from the annotation of a GenBank genome assembly. Lineage: Eukaryota; Metazoa; Chordata; Amphibia; Anura; Pelobatidae.